This 650-nucleotide ribosomal RNA is filed under the name uncultured soil bacterium. RNAcentral describes it as "bacterial SSU rRNA". It matches the Rfam family "Bacterial small subunit ribosomal RNA", at positions 55 to 749 of the family's 1533-position model. The record is from RNAcentral.
AUGCAAGUCGAGCGGCCGUAGCAAUACGGCAGCGGCAGACGGGAGAGUAACACGUGGGAACGCGCCCUUCGGUUCGGGAUAACUCAGGGAAACUUGGGCUAAUACCGGAUACGCCCUUACGGGGAAAGAUUUAUUGCCGAAGGAACGGCCCGCGUCCGAUUAGCUUGUUGGUGAGGUAACGGCUCACCAAGGCGACGAUCGGUAGCUGGUCUGAGAGGAUGACCAGCCUCACUGGGACUGAGACACGGCCCAGACUCCUACGGGAGGCAGCAGUGGGGAAUAUUGGACAAUGGGCGCAAGCCUGAUCCAGCCAUGCCGCGUGGGUGAUGAAGGCCCUAGGGUUGUAAAGCCCUUUCGGCGGGGAAGAUAAUGACGGUACCCGCAGAAGAAGCCCCGGCUAACUUCGUGCCAGCAGCCGCGGUAAUACGAAGGGGGCUAGCGUUGCUCGGAAUUACUGGGCGUAAAGCGCACGUAGGCGGCUUCUUAAGUCGGUGGUGAAAUCCUGGAGCUCAACUCCAGAACUGCCUUCGAUACUGGGAAGCUCGAGUCCGGGAGAGGUGAGUGGAACUGCGAGUGUAGAGGUGAAAUUCGUAGAUAUUCGCAAGAACACCAGUGGCGAAGGCGGCUCACUGGCCCGGUACUGACGCUGA